CCCUUAGAUGUCCUGGGCCGCACGCGCGUUACACUGAUGCAUUCAACGAGCUUAUAACCUUGGCCGAGAGGCCUGGGCAAUCUUGUUAACGUGCAUCGUGAUAGGGAUAGAUUAUUGAAAUUAUUAAUCUUGAACGAGGAAUUCCUAGUAAACGCAGAUCAUCAAUCUGCAUUGAUUACGUCCCUGCCCUUUGUACACACCACCCGUCGCACCUACCGAUUGGAUGGUCCGGUGAAGCCUCGGGAUUGUGGUUCUUGCCGCUUUAUUGUGGCGUGACCGCGAGAACUUGUCUAAACCUUAUCAUCUAGAGGAAAGUGAAGUCGUAACA
RNAcentral lists this ribosomal RNA (328 nucleotides) under uncultured eukaryote. RNAcentral describes it as "partial 18S ribosomal RNA". It matches the Rfam family "Eukaryotic small subunit ribosomal RNA", at positions 1470 to 1796 of the family's 1831-position model. The record is from RNAcentral.